UAUUUAUUGAUUCCUUGUAUGUGUUUUAUUUAGGGUUAUACCCCAUUGUGGCUGUUAGAAUUAGUUUUCAGGCAGAUGCAAAUAUACUUAAAAGUAAGUAGAAAGAGCAUGUGCAUGUGCAGUGGCCUCCCAGAAUUCCAUACCAUUGUGACUAUUCUUGUCAAUGCAGAGGAAGUGACAUUCAUUUGUAAAAGACUCUCUUCCUGGUACAUUGAACAUUUCAGGUCUUAUGAGCUUGUUGAAGGCAACUGUGCAGAAAUUGUCGUCCUGGAUCCAGAUGUGCUGACGGAUUACCACCCACUAGAAGCAUACUCAGUUGGUGGAAAGGUGAUGGUGACCGCAAGAACAUUCAUUCUCCAUUAAAGAAACACAAAAUGACUUUGUUACUUAGGGUAGUUGUCUCCUCCAAACAUGCCCGGCGAAUCCAGCUUCCUGAAGUACCAGGAUCUGUGGCCCAACUGAUUGAUGAACUUAAAGAGAAACUUCAACUUGAAGACAUCGGACAUUGUGUCUCACCGAAAGACAGCAGCACUGAGAGGCCUGCCCAUUUUUGUCCGGGAAGACACAACCAAGUUUCUU
Long non-coding RNA from Eleginops maclovinus (Patagonian blennie), 579 nucleotides. RefSeq lists it as uncharacterized. The record is from RefSeq and is a predicted model, not a curated record. The transcript has 3 exons. NCBI's taxonomy places the organism in Eukaryota, Metazoa, Chordata, Actinopteri, Perciformes, Eleginopidae.